CAAUCUGCCUUGGAGUGGGGAAUAACGGCUGGAAACAGCCGCUAAUACCGCAUGACGCGUCUGGGAGGCAUCUCUCUGGACGCCAAAGAUUUAUCGCUCUGAGAUGAGCUCGCGUCUGAUUAGCUAGUUGGCGGGGCAACGGCCCACCAAGGCGACGAUCAGUAGCCGGACUGAGAGGUUGGCCGGCCACAUUGGGACUGAGACACGGCCCAGACUCCUACGGAAGGCAGCAG
RNAcentral lists this ribosomal RNA (233 nucleotides) under uncultured bacterium. Its description in RNAcentral is "partial 16S ribosomal RNA". It matches the Rfam family "Bacterial small subunit ribosomal RNA", at positions 122 to 354 of the family's 1533-position model. The record is from RNAcentral.